RNAcentral lists this ribosomal RNA (253 nucleotides) under uncultured bacterium. RNAcentral describes it as "partial 16S ribosomal RNA". It matches the Rfam family "Bacterial small subunit ribosomal RNA", at positions 524 to 776 of the family's 1533-position model. The record is from RNAcentral.
CACGUAGGGCGCAAGCGUUGUCCGGAAUUAUUGGGCGUAAAGGGCUCGUAGGCGGUUCGUCACGUCGGGAGUGAAAACUCGGAGCUUAACUCCGAGCCUGCUUCCGAUACGGGCAGACUAGAGGUAGGCAGGGGAGAGCGGAACUCCUGGUGUAGCGGCGGAAUGCGCAGAUAUCAGGAAGAACACCGGUGGCGAAGGCGGCUCUCUGGGCCUUACCUGACGCUGAGGAGCGAAAGCGUGGGUAGCGAACAGG